AAACCCCUUCACUCUCCCCUUGUGGGCACGGAGUGAGACUUGUCGGCUGAGCCGGUGGUGGUGCAUGCUGCCGCUGGCUCUCUGACUAAAGGCAUUAGGUCUGGAUCGGGCUGGUGGCCCGGGACAUUGUGUGCUAGAGACGUUCGCCGCGAGGCAGGCUGUCUUCUCACAGUGCGUCCUGGGUCCUUGCAAGCUGGCCCGGUGAGGACCUUUUGGUGGUGCGCUUCGCGGCGUCCACAACCCCCCU
This 247-nucleotide unclassified non-coding RNA is filed under the name uncultured Rozellomycota. RNAcentral's name for it is "uncultured Cryptomycota sequence contains ITS2". The record is from RNAcentral. Lineage: Eukaryota; Fungi; Rozellomycota.